GCCAUUGCUGUCACCUGUCAUGCGCUCAUCGCAACAACACAACAAACAUAUGAUUCCACGAGUCUCGUUCUUAUACAGCCUCUCGCCCUUCAGAAAGUAAGCAGAGUAACCGCUUUGGUUUCUUUUCUUUUAUUUUAUUUUAUUUUCAAUUUUUGGGUUUUGAUGAAAUGACGAAUUUGGCCUUUGGAUUUUUAGAGGAGUUGGUGGGGUCCUGGCUACGGUGAUCGAGGCGUGGUAGGAACGGUAAUUAUUCGCAGCGCGUGGGGUUAGCAAGUGUGGCGGGUUAGAUGUUAGCGUGUGAGCCUGCGAGUUUAAGACUCGAAGUAAGUGCCUUGUAUGGUUUAGUGAUGCUUCUGAGCAAAGACAUCAACCAAAUUUAUUUUAUUUAUUUAUUCUAUUUUAACAGACGUUCAAAACUUACAUAUAUUAAC
This 431-nucleotide long non-coding RNA is filed under the name Citrus maxima (pomelo). RNAcentral describes it as "long non-coding RNA (CMAX_LNC003512)". The record is from RNAcentral. Lineage: Eukaryota; Viridiplantae; Streptophyta; Magnoliopsida; Sapindales; Rutaceae.